Molecule: long non-coding RNA, 1376 nt
Filed under: Sus scrofa (pig)
Lineage: Eukaryota; Metazoa; Chordata; Mammalia; Artiodactyla; Suidae
Description: lncRNA (ENSSSCG00060046055.1)
Source: RNAcentral
GGUCUGGUUCUGCAACCGGCGCCAGAAGGAGAAGCGCAUGACGCCGCCCGGGAUCCAACAGCAGACGCCCGACGACGUCUACUCGCAGGUGGGCACCGUGAGCGCCGACACGCCGCCGCCGCACCACGGGCUCCAGACGAGCGUGCAGUGAAGGCCCGGGCGCCGCUGCGCGGAGCGGGCCCCGCCAUCGCCGCCGCUGUCACCCGCCGCCCCCGCCGCCGCCGCCGCCGCCGCCGCCGCCGCACCGGGCCAGGCCACCCUACCCUCCGCGCAAAGACAGGCAUGCCCGCCCUCGGAGGAUCGGCGAGGGACGCACCGAGGAGACCAGGCUUGAAGUCCGUGGAAGGAGGGGCAAAAUAAACAAACAAAGCAUAUAAAUGCCCAGACUGUUUUUUAUACAUAUCUCACAAAACCGGAAAAGAAAGGGGGGGCGAUCAUGCGAUCUCCUUUAUACUGUGGUGGUGUUCCGUUUUUGUUUUUCUUUUAAAAGAAGGGUGAAGAUGACUAGCUCACCAAAACUGCACUCUUGAGGUUCUUCCCACCACGAGAAGUCCUACACGGCGACGUUGGAUAGCACCUAGCACCUGCCUUGUUCUCUCCUCUGGAAAAAAAAAAAAAAAAAAAAGAUUUUUUUGAAAGACUCCCCUUCCUUCCACCUCCUCCCUCCAAAGGGCCCCCGCCUCGAGAGAUCCACCGAAACUUUGUUUCCUGGGAGCGGCCCGAAAGCAAGCAGAGGCCCUGGGUUUCAUUAGGGGUGACUCUGUGCUCCCCCACCCUGUUAUUCUUGUCCAUUUUAACGUCAUUUGGGGACAAACAAAUUUGACUAUGAACCGAGAAGGAGAAGAAAAAAAACAAUCUCCAGAAAACAAGAAAUAUAUAUAUAUAUGUGUGUGUAUUCACAGCUUCUGAAAUUAACAGACUGAUAGCAAAGCCAAAAGAAAAAGAAAAUGUAUCCUCAAAGUAACCUUGGAAAUCAAAGCAUCCCGAAAGAGCAGAGGGAUGGGCGAGCGAGCAGGAGAUCGGAAAGGAGCAGAGGAGGAGGGGGGUGCUGGGGCCCAGGCGGCGGGCGUCAAACGCCCAGCUUCCCCCGGGGACGCAGCGCAGGUGGGGCGGUGGCUGUCGCGGGAGGAGGGGGGGCGGUGGCCCGACCCUGCCCGGCCGGGCUCUGCUCAGCGGCCCGGCCGUAACAGCUGCGGACAGUCCCACAAGCUGUUUUCCUCGUGGCGACCAUUCAGCAAAACGCACGAUCCUUUCUCAAAGAUUUAAAUUUCGCGGAUGAAUUACCAUACACCGGUUGCUUAGCAACUAUAUUCAAGCAGGGCUAAGAAUAUGCAAGCUUUUUGUAUUCUCAUUAAUAAAAAUGCCACUCUGACACA